CCUACGGGAGACAGCAGUGGGGAAUAUUGCACAAUGGGGGAAACCCUGAUGCAGCGACGCCGCGUGAAGGAAGAAGGAUUUCGGGAUGUAAACUUCUAUCAGCAGGGAAGAAAAUGACGGUACCUGACUAAGAAGCCCCGGCGAACUACGUGCCAGCAGCCGCGGUAAUACGUAGGGGGCAAGCGUUAUCCGGAUUUACUGGGUGUAAAGGGAGCGGAGGCGGUUUAGCAAGUCAGAAGUGAAAGCCCGGGGCUCAACUCCGGGACUGCUUUUGAAACUGUUGAACUAGAUUGCAGGAGAGGUAAGUGGAAUUCCUCGUGUAGCGGUGACAUGCGUAGAUCUUAGGAGGCACCCCAGUGGCGCCGGCGGCUUACUGGACUGUAACUGACGCUGCGGCUCGACAGCGUGGGGAGCAAACCGGAUUCGCUACCCUUGUAGUC
This 440-nucleotide ribosomal RNA is filed under the name uncultured bacterium. Its description in RNAcentral is "partial 16S ribosomal RNA". It matches the Rfam family "Bacterial small subunit ribosomal RNA", at positions 338 to 795 of the family's 1533-position model. The record is from RNAcentral.